This 250-nucleotide ribosomal RNA is filed under the name uncultured bacterium. Its description in RNAcentral is "partial 16S ribosomal RNA". It matches the Rfam family "Bacterial small subunit ribosomal RNA", at positions 524 to 773 of the family's 1533-position model. The record is from RNAcentral.
UACGGAGGGGGCUAGCGUUGUUCGGAAUUACUGGGCGUAAAGCGCACGUAGGCGGCGAUCUAAGUCAGGGGUGAAAGCCCGGGGCUCAACCCCGGAAUUGCCCUUGAGACUGGAUUGCUAGAAUCUUGGAGAGGCGAGUGGAAUUCCGAGUGUAGAGGUGAAAUUCGUAGAUAUUCGGAAGAACACCAGUGGCGAAGGCGGCUCGCUGGACAAGUAUUGACGCUGAGGUGCGAAAGCGUGGGGAGCAAAC